ACAGGAGUCUAAUGGCUGUGAAUAAGUGGCUGAAUUGAUGUCCACCAGGUGGCGCGAAUCUCUUCGGGGACGCUAAGCGGCCAUUUUGAUCCAAGACGCAGCAGAGAUGGGUUGUUGGUUGUGACGUUUCUCACGAUGAAAAUUAAAAGGUGAUUUAGCACGUAAAAACCAAGUUGCCAAAUCAUUCAAAUCAGACUUGGAAGUGCCUGUACAUUUCCGAAAUGGCGUGCCUCGUGUGUCUCGGUGCCUGUUCUUAGACGUACCGUCUCAUCCCAUAUAUAACAAACACUUCUUUAACGCUGGUGGUGGUUACCUUGUUGCAGCCAAAUGGUGAAAGGUGUGACGAAGACAGAUUGAACCAUUGUAUGGAGCAUGCGGUUGCAGUUCAAUCCAGAAGUUGCUGUGCUGUUGCAGCUGAGCUGUUCCAU
Molecule: long non-coding RNA, 428 nt
Organism: Daphnia pulex (common water flea)
Lineage: Eukaryota; Metazoa; Arthropoda; Branchiopoda; Diplostraca; Daphniidae
Exons: 3
Source: RefSeq, a predicted model, not a curated record